CGCUGGCGGUAGGCUUAACACAUGCAAGUCGUGCGAGAAAGUAUCUUCGGAUAUGAUUAGAGCGGCGGACGGGUGAGUAACGCGUAGGAAUCUACCUAGUAGAAGGGGAUAGCCCGAGGAAACUCGGAUUAAUACCGUAUACCUCCUCCGGGAGAAAGAAGGCCUCUCUUUGAAGCUUUCGCUACUAGAUGAGCCUGCGUAAGAUUAGCUUGUUGGUGAGGUAAAGGCUCACCAAGGCUACGAUCUUUAGCGGGUCUGAGAGGACGAUCCGCCACAUUGGGACUGAGACACGGCCCAGACUCCUACGGGAGGCAGCAGUGGGGAAUAUUGGACAAUGGGCGAAAGCCUGAUCCAGCCAUACCGCGUGUGUGAAGAAGGCCUUAGGGUUGUAAAGCACUUUAAGUUGGGAAGAAAGGUUAUUGGCUAAUACCCAAUAACUGUGACAUUACCAUCAGAAUAAGGACCGGCUAAUUCCGUGCCAGCAGCCGCGGUAAUACGGAAGGUCCAAGCGUUAAUCGGAAUUACUGGGCGUAAAGCGCGCGUAGGUGGUUUAUUAAGUUGGAUGUGAAAGCCCCGGGCUCAACCUGGGAACUGCAUCCAAAACUGAUUCACUAGAGUACGAUAGAGGGAGGUAGAAUUCACAGUGUAGCGGUGGAAUGCGUAGAUAUUGUGAAGAAUACCAAUGGCGAAGGCAGCCUCCUGGAUCUGUACUGACACUGAGGUGCGAAAGCGUGGGUAGCGAACAGGAUUAGAUACCCUGGUAGUCCACGCCGUAAACGAUGUCAACUAGCUGUUGGAAAGCAUUGCUUUUCAGUGGCGCAGCUAACGUAGUAAGUUGACCGCCUGGGGAGUACGGCCGC
This 860-nucleotide ribosomal RNA is filed under the name uncultured bacterium. Its description in RNAcentral is "bacterial SSU rRNA". It matches the Rfam family "Bacterial small subunit ribosomal RNA", at positions 34 to 889 of the family's 1533-position model. The record is from RNAcentral.